Molecule: non-coding RNA, 179 nt
Filed under: Bacillus sp. (in: firmicutes)
Lineage: Bacteria; Bacillati; Bacillota; Bacilli; Caryophanales; Bacillaceae
Source: RNAcentral
UAUAGAACCGCAAGCAUAGGUGCCAGAAAUGGCUGAAAAGGGAAUCCGGUGUAAACCCGGAGCUGUCCCCGCAACUGUAAAUGUGACGAAAUGAGAUUUCCACUGUAUGUCUUUAUACGGGAAGGACUCAGAGUAGGAUGAACAUAAGCCAGGAGACCUGCCUAUUGCCUGCCAAGUUU